Monodelphis domestica (gray short-tailed opossum) is the source of this 690-nucleotide long non-coding RNA. RefSeq lists it as uncharacterized. The record is from RefSeq and is a predicted model, not a curated record. Lineage: Eukaryota; Metazoa; Chordata; Mammalia; Didelphimorphia; Didelphidae.
CUGGCAUUUCCCUAAGACUAGUAGCCAUCUGGCCCAUGGCUGAAGCCUUUCCUGGAUGGCAGAACCCAUCAGGACUUGGAUUGGCUGUCAUGGCCUUUGGGAAGCCAAGGGAUAUACUGGAACCAGCUCAUGGCUCUCGAGAGCUGAUGCUAAAUUUUCAGCGUGAGUUAUAAUCGCUUCCCCUUUGAAACUGACAAAUGCUACCAAUUAGUGUUUGAUUUAUGAUUUUGUUGAUUGCCUGGACUCAAGAAAGUGAUAGAGAAAUCGCUAAUAAUACAGAUCAACCCCCAAAGUGAGUGUUGAUGUUUCAAAUACCUUCUAAGAAAUACUCCUCAAAGAUGAAACACCUGAACUCUAUAUUAUCUGCAUGGCAUUGCAUAAGUUAACUGAUCUGUUGGAGCCCAUUUCCUCAUCUAUAACAUGGAAAGGGAGACACCCCCUCAACUCAGAUUUACAUCCAUCUCCAACCAUCUGGAUCUAUCACACUGGGUGCCUGCAGCGGUUUUCAAGGCUUGUUUUGUUUAUAUUUCUGUUCUUUACCCUGCUGUGAACCAUUUUUCCUUGCACUUUUCAAAUCCAGCCAAUGGCAAAAAAAUGAAAAAAUAAAGACCCAAGGGUUGAAAUCUGACCAAACAGCUUUAAUCAAUAGAGGCUUUCAGAAGAAGACAAUAAUGUAAAUCAUGCUGUUUA